RNAcentral lists this ribosomal RNA (492 nucleotides) under uncultured bacterium. Its description in RNAcentral is "partial 16S ribosomal RNA". It matches the Rfam family "Bacterial small subunit ribosomal RNA", at positions 29 to 507 of the family's 1533-position model. The record is from RNAcentral.
AGUGAACGCUGGCGGCAGGCCUAACACAUGCAAGUCGAGCGAAAAGACGGUAAGAGCUCGCCCUUACGGGUGGCGAGGGGCGGGCGGGUGACGCAUACAUCAGCAACUACUUUUUCGGGGGGAACAACGGAAAGACGCUGAUGCUAAUAGCGCAUAUGAUCUACGGGAUAAAGCAGUGGAGAUUCGCGGCUUUGCCGACUGAAAUAGACGGUGUCGCAUUAGCUAGUUGGGAUGGUAAGGGCACACCAAGGCGACGAUCCGUAGCUGAUCUGAGAGGAUGAUCAGCCACACUGGAACUGAGACACGGUCCAGACUCCUACGGGAGGCAGCAGUAGGGAAUCUUCCACAAUGGGCGCAAGCCUGACCCAGCAAUGCCGCGUGAGUGAAGAAGGCCUUCGGAUUGUAAAACUCUUUUAUUAGGGAAGAACAACAGCGGAUUAAACCAUGCCCGUUUUGACGGUACCUAAAGAGAAAGCCCCGGCUAACUUCGUG